Molecule: long non-coding RNA, 1993 nt
Organism: Panthera uncia (snow leopard)
Lineage: Eukaryota; Metazoa; Chordata; Mammalia; Carnivora; Felidae
Exons: 4
Source: RefSeq, a predicted model, not a curated record
UAGGUGCAAGGCACAGAACCAACUCUGGCAGAGUGAAGGGGCAAAGGGACUCAUCAGAAGGCACUGGAGAGCCGGCAGGAUCCCUGGGAGAGCCAGAACCAGGCGCCGAGGCUCUGCAGUGGGGAACGACGCUCACAACAAGGCUUUAGAAACACUGCUGUUGCUAUGGACACUGGACCCCGCAGGUUCCUCCACUGACAACACUGGACACCGUAUGCAGCCAAGGUCCCUGUCAUCACCCAACACCAGAACACCUGCUUCUUCCAAGUACCAGCUUCCUAAUCAAUGUCAAGGCUGGAAGGCAAGUAGGUGAAUGGUCUUCACCUUUGCAGGGAUAAAGGGAUGAAAAGAACUUGAGUCUCCAUCACCAAGAGCCAACAGACCAGCCCUCGACUGACGCAAGUAUGAAGUUGUGAAGAAACCGUGGUUCUGACUCUUCCUAUGAGUGCCCAGCACAGCACCUGCUGCUAAGUGGCCACCCUGUGUUUGCUGGAAAAAUGAGUGAACUGGGGAGAUCCUGGGCCCUGGGGCCUCUAGCCAGACAGAGCCAAAGGACUCGCGGACGAUUUUUGGUCAAGGGAACCGAUUCAAGGACAAACACGCAGCACAGCGCAUGAGUGACACAAGCAGGCAAGUUCAUUAAAGCAAAAAAGCACACUCUCGAGAUAUGAGAGCCGGCGAACUAGAGAGGGAGGCGGGGAGCGGGAAGGACCGAGGGAGACCUAGCGAGCAUGCGCAGGUGCGCAGGCGCGCAAGCGGGCGGAAGAGCAUGAGCGAGCUGCACGCAAGGUGGGGAUGUUUCUAUCUUUUAUUGACAGUUGUUAACUAGCGGGCGGAAUACGUAUUACUUGGGCGGCAAGCAGCGUUUCAAGCUUUUUCCUCCUAAUUUGGUCAGAGGUUGCUUGUCGUGGCACCUGCCAUCUUAGUUCUGCCUGGGUAGAUCCGGCUUCUUGGGGAGAGCUGUCAGGACCCGCCUCUGACCUUCCCGAUAGCUGGCCAUGACUUCCUCGUGCUGGCCUCCAGGUAUCGUGUUAGAACCUGACUAACUGCCUACUCUAACACAAUGAGUUUAGAAAACGAUUUCAUAUUGUCUUGUAAAGUUGAACAUGUGUAGUGGGUAACUUCCAGCUCCGCAAUUCCACUCCCAAGAAAUACACCCUAAGGAUCGUUACUUGUAUGCAGUUGUAGAUAUAUAUAAUAUUCUUUGUGGUUUUUUUUGUGAAAUAUUGAAACAAGAAAGAAAAAAAAGGAAGCAACUUACGCCUCUAUCCAUAGGAAAAGAGAUAAAUCACUUGUGCAGUAAUCACACAAUGGCCUGCUAUUCAGCUGUGGCUUGGAGGUAAGCAAUUGGAGGUCGAAGGGUUGAAGAUGAAAGAGAAAAGUAGUCACAACUGUAACCAAACCAACGCGUGUUGGCUCCUUGGUGAGUCAUAGAAACUGCACCAUGUCAGUUGUUCCUUAAGGGAAACUUUAUUUGCAGCAAAUGAGUCCAAGCUUCCAAAUAAGGUUUUCCUUGUGCGACAACUCACUUGGUGCAGUUUCUGUGACUCACCAAGGCGUAAACGCCUGUUGGUUCGGUUACAAAUUUGGUGACCCAGAUGGGACAGCUGUCCUGAGGUUCUGCCCUCCAGUUCCCUGGGUUCCGACGGACGGAGCAGCAGGCAGCGGAAGCUUGCUUGGGCUAAACGGUUCAAGCUGUCAGGACCAGGGGCAGAUUCCUUGGAGGAGAUUCACCCUUUUUUGGUGCUUGUGACCACUGGCGUGCCAUUCUGUCCUCAUUUGAAAUCCAGAUCUCAUUUGAAACUCUGAUUAUAUUUACCCGAAGGAUUUCUGUUGGGAUAAAUUAUGCCAGGUCCGUGGCAGAGAUCUUAGAAGUAAAACUAAAGCUCUCUCACAAAGUCUGGGCAAGACAGCAUAACAGUCAGAAUACACUGGGUAAACAGGGCCUUUCUGGUAAACACUCUGGGAGAUUGAACACUGAUUAGGGUCCAGU